GAUGAACGCUAGCGAUAGGCUUAACACAUGCAAGUCGAGGGGCAGCGAGGGUAGCAAUACCUGUCGGCGACCGGCGCACGGGUGAGUAACGCGUAUGUAACCUGCCCGCAACAGGGGGAUAACCCGGCGAAAGUCGGACUAAUACCGCAUAAAACAGGGGUCCCGCAUGGGAAUAUUUGUUAAAGAUUUAUCGGUUGCGGAUGGGCAUGCGUACCAUUAGGUAGUUGGUGAGGUAACGGCUCACCAAGCCUUCGAUGGUUAGGGGUUCUGAGAGGAAGGUCCCCCACACUGGUACUGAGACACGGACCAGACUCCUACGGGAGGCAGAAGUGAGGAAUAUUAGUCAAUGGGCGAGAACAUGAACCAGCCAGGUCGCGUGAAGGAUGACUGCCCUAUGGGUUGUAAACUUCUUUUACAAGGGAAUAAAAUGAGAUACGUGUAUUUUAUUGAAUGUACCUUAGGAAUAAGCAUCGGCUAACUCCGUG
This 485-nucleotide ribosomal RNA is filed under the name uncultured bacterium. Its description in RNAcentral is "partial 16S ribosomal RNA". It matches the Rfam family "Bacterial small subunit ribosomal RNA", at positions 28 to 507 of the family's 1533-position model. The record is from RNAcentral.